Molecule: long non-coding RNA, 208 nt
Filed under: Mytilus galloprovincialis (Mediterranean mussel)
Lineage: Eukaryota; Metazoa; Mollusca; Bivalvia; Mytilida; Mytilidae
Source: RNAcentral
GUUAGAUAAGUCAUAAACAUCUAUUCUUGAAUUUCAUCCAAAUUCUUUCUUAAAAGAGGGACGAAAGAUACCAAAGGGACAGUCAAACUCAUAAAUCUAAAACAAACUGACAACGCCAUGGCUAAAAAUGAAAAAAAAGACAAACAGAAAAACAAUAGUACACAUGACACAACAUAGAAAACUAAAGAAUAAACAACACGAACCCCAC